GACGUGGCGCAGUGGUAGUGCGUCUGCCUGAGACGCAGAAGGUUCCGGGUUCUAUUCCCGGCGGGUCA
This is a non-coding RNA of Phthorimaea operculella (potato tuberworm), 68 nucleotides long. The record is from the annotation of a GenBank genome assembly. Lineage: Eukaryota; Metazoa; Arthropoda; Insecta; Lepidoptera; Gelechiidae.